RNAcentral lists this transfer RNA (71 nucleotides) under Loxodonta africana (African savanna elephant). It matches the Rfam family "tRNA". Rfam says of the family: Transfer RNA (tRNA) molecules are approximately 80 nucleotides in length. Their secondary structure includes four short double-helical elements and three loops (D, anti-codon, and T loops). Lineage: Eukaryota; Metazoa; Chordata; Mammalia; Proboscidea; Elephantidae. The record is from Rfam by way of RNAcentral.
GCAUUGGUGUUUCAGUGGUAGAAUUCUCAUCUUCCAUGCAGGAGACGUGAGUUAGAUUCCCAGCCAAUGCA